Non-coding RNA from Pelobates cultripes (western spadefoot toad), 439 nucleotides. The record is from the annotation of a GenBank genome assembly. NCBI's taxonomy places the organism in Eukaryota, Metazoa, Chordata, Amphibia, Anura, Pelobatidae.
CCUUUCCUCUGGCACAUUUCCCUCUGCCUUCAAACAUGCAACCAUAACCCCAAUUCUGAAAAAGCCCAACCUUGAUACCAACUCCCCAUCCAACUACCGCCCUAUCUCGCUACUGCCAUUUGCCUCCAAGAUCCUCGAGAGAGUUGUCUACGCCACAUUGACAGACUUUCUUGAAUCCAACUCUCUGCUUGACCCCCUUCAGUCUGGAUUCCGCGUUGGUCACUCUGUCGAAACUGCUGUGACCAAAGUAUCCAACGAUUUAAUUGCUGCUAAAUCUCACGGCCAAUACUCUAUCCUAAUCCUCCUUGAUCUUUCUGCCGCCUUUGACACUGUUGAUCAUCAACAGCUUCUUCACAUUCUCCGUAACUUUGGUCUAUGGGAUUCUGCUCUCUCCUGGUGCUCCUCCUACCUCUCCCAGCGCUCCUUCAGUGUUUCUUUC